This 425-nucleotide ribosomal RNA is filed under the name uncultured Muribaculaceae bacterium. Its description in RNAcentral is "bacterial SSU rRNA". It matches the Rfam family "Bacterial small subunit ribosomal RNA", at positions 354 to 776 of the family's 1533-position model. Lineage: Bacteria; Pseudomonadati; Bacteroidota; Bacteroidia; Bacteroidales; Muribaculaceae. The record is from RNAcentral.
GUGAGGAAUAUUGGUCAAUGGGCGGGAGCCUGAACCAGCCAAGUCGCGUGAGGGAUGACGGUCCUACGGAUUGUAAACCUCUUUUGCCGGGGAGCAAGCGUGCGUUCGUGAACGCGCGUCGAGAGUACCCGGAGAAAAAGCAUCGGCUAACUCCGUGCCAGCAGCCGCGGUAAUACGGAGGAUGCGAGCGUUAUCCGGAUUUAUUGGGUUUAAAGGGUGCGUAGGCGGGAUGCCAAGUCAGCGGUAAAAAUGCGGUGCUCAACGCCGUCGAGCCGUUGAAACUGGCGUUCUUGAGUGGGCGAGAAGUAUGCGGAAUGCGUGGUGUAGCGGUGAAAUGCAUAGAUAUCACGCAGAACUCCGAUUGCGAAGGCAGCAUACCGGCGCCCUACUGACGCUGAGGCACGAAAGCGUGGGUAUCGAACAGG